Molecule: long non-coding RNA, 3088 nt
Filed under: Triticum aestivum (bread wheat)
Lineage: Eukaryota; Viridiplantae; Streptophyta; Magnoliopsida; Poales; Poaceae
Description: long non-coding RNA (TAES_LNC025129)
Source: RNAcentral
AACCAGCCUGACCCCUAAGGGUAGCAUCGAUCAAUUGCAUGUAGCCAGAGCUACCAGUGUAUUGUUUUCUCCCGUCCCUUUGAUGCUUUAGUUGUUGCUAGGCCAACAUCAAUGCAGGUCGGGUUGAAGGACAGGCAAAAGGCAAAACAUUUGGAAGUCCUUAGUCAUCGUCGGAAACAUCAAGGGUAUAAGAGCAUCUCUAGCAGAUCCGGUAAACGGCCAUCCCCGAAACGAACGCCGGACGCUGAGCCAGAAUAGAUCCUUCAAACAUAUACCGCAUAUUCAAACUUGCAGUUCACACUUAAACUAGAUCACCGGAGUUCAUACAUAAACGCUUGCCGAAGUUCAUACUUCCUCCGGUCCUUUGUAGUCUGCAUAUAAGUUUUGUUUAAAGUCAAAGCAUCUCUACUUUGACCAAACAUAUAGAAAAAAUGUAUCAAGAUUUACAAUGUCAAAUCAAUAUUCUUAGAUUCAUUACAAAAUGUAGUUUCAUGGAAUAUAAAUUUGGCAUGGUAAAUAUUGAUAUUUUUUAAUAUAUAUUUGGUCAAACUUUGCAAAGUUUGACUCGACCCAAACCUAAUACGCGGAGUAAAAAUGACCGGAGGGAGUACUACAUACCAGAGUUCAUGUUUAAUAAAAAAGGAAAUUAAACAGUUCAUACUUAAACGGGGUGCAUACUAGCGUGCUUCCAAAUAAAGAAGCGCCAAGCACUACCAUGUAAAAGAAGUCUUGGGGAAGCUGAACUACUUCCCUCGCUUAGGUAUUAAAAUGCACCUUGUCACAUUACAAACUUACUCAACGAAGGCACAUGUUCAGCAAGUUCUUCCACAUAACGUAUGUGCACACUGCCGGCCACAUUGAUGGAAUGCGACAAACUCGGUAGGGACUAGGGACGACAGCUGCCCUUGACUACUUCACCUGCAGACAACAAAAUUGCUAAUCCGUUAGUAAAUAUAGUAGAUACAUGCAGAACCUGAUAUGCGUAUGCAGCAUACAUGGUUAAAAAAGCCUAUGAGCAAGAUGUGUGUGCAAGCUCGUAAAACAUAACAGAUAUCACACUCUUCGCUAUAUCUCCUAGGAUUGCAAAUGACAGCGAAUUACACCAUUGAAGCCUUUUGACAAUGUAAUUUAUUUGUGUGGGAUAGUUGAAUGCUACUAAUGUCGUGUUUUCAGCUAGCUGACCCUGGCAAAACCAAGGGAGAACUCUAGGCAUGCCCAAACAGGCACAAGGCAGUAAUAUAGUAAUUAACAGCAACACCACUAUAUGCAACACAUGGAUAUCAUUUGCGACCCAAAAGGGACAGUCAUUUUGCCUUUGGCGUCACUGUCGUUUUUAAUUUGUUUGUGUGCUAUUGACAUGCAUGAAUCCAUAUAGCCGAACGGGAUGCAGGCUGCAUACGCUGGCAGCAAGAUAUUCUUAUGCUCUGUUAGAGAGAAGGUGAUGACAGUCCCUAGGUAGAAGACUCAGCGCGAUCUCCGAAGACUGGAGAAAUCUGGAAAGGCUACUCAACUAGAGAAGGUUACCUUUUUCUUCUUCUGAUAAUCUCUAUCACUCGUCUAUUAUACAUUGAUUACAUUCCCAUGUUCUAACAUCUUCCUGCUAUCAGUCAGAGUGCUGAAAGCGAACUAAAGGAAAGUCUGAGGAAAGGUGUCUAUUGUGACAUUUAUAAUUACCCCUUCAAUCAGUUUGAUACUAUACUUGACAUAGAAAAAGAUGAUAUGGCUCCUGAGAUGGAAGAGGAAGAAGUAAGGACAGUACCGAGUAUAUGAGACAUAAGCUAACUUAGUUGUGUUCUCAUAGCUCACAAGCUUUCCUACAUGCUGUGUGGAUUCACUUGCCAACAAAGCAAGGUAAGAUAGACUAUGCUGAAUGUGCUGAUAUCGAGAUGGGUGAAAUGGAAGAUAUGGAAGAUAUGGAAUACUUUGAAGACUUCGGUAGUGAAGAUGGUAAACAUUUUCCCUUGUUUCUACUGAUUUUGAUUGGCCAUGUUAUAGAGUGCUCUGACAUGUGAAGAUACCUUUUUCCUGUGUUCGCUAGGUAAUGUAAUGAAGUUUUCCAUUUUCUGAAUUAUGGGCCUUGGAAAUCCCAUUCUGAUUUGUCUAAUAUGUUCAUGAUGCAGAAAUGUUUAUUUUGACAAAAUGGUUUGAAUGAACCAGUAACAAAGAAGCCCAAGGUACCAUGCUCUGAUUUAAGAUCAAAGAUUGAGCAGAAGUCUACGAUAGUUAUCACCGAGGUAAAUCACUUGUUUCAGUAUGAGUAUUCUGAUGUCAUGAAACACCAUGUCGCCUGCAUACAUAGUUAAAAAAAACACUAGCCGUUAAUUGUGCGUUUUGCCACUGCCUUGUGCUUUCUGACCAAAGUGCACACUUAUGCGUAAUUAUGCGCAUAUUAACUGCAAUUAAGCACUAGGCAUUUUUCUAUAGUAUAGAGCCUAGGCCUGCCUUUUUUAACCAUGCCCGUACAUAGACAAAAAUCAAACACAUCUUAUUGGUUUUGUCACAUAUUUGGUGUCCAACUAGUAGUAGGGAAUCCAUAUAUGCUUUUCUCUUUAUCUACAUUUCUCUUCACAGGAGAAGUUUCCCCUAAGCAUGCACAUACUAUUAGCUUUUCUUUUUCAAAAAAUGCUACUAAUGUCUUGCUUUCAGCUAGCUGACUAUUAAAUGGCAAAACCAAGGGAGAACUCUAGCAUGGCCAAACAGGCACAAGCAGGUAAUAUUAACAGCAACAACACUAUGUGCACAUCUGGAUAUCAUUUACAAGCUACGACCCAAAAGGGACAUUCAUUUUGCCUUGGCCACCAUCGUUUAAAAUUUGUGUAUGUGCUAUUGACAUGCAUGAAUCCCUAUAGCCGAAUGGGCAAUAGUUUGUGAGAUGCAAGCUACCUGAAUUGGCAGACAGAUAUUUUCCAUACAAAAAAACCAAACAAUCCAGAUCUCACAAACUAUAUCCUGAAGAUGGUGUUACCUUUAGGACCAUUCCAGCAUAUUACCACACAAGACUAGACAGUCAUCCUACAUAUCUUGCAGCAUUCCAGCUCCGCCACGUCCACCAGGAAUGGCUACGCCCAGAAGCAUAAGAAGUCAGGCA